RNAcentral lists this long non-coding RNA (1680 nucleotides) under Melopsittacus undulatus (budgerigar). RNAcentral's name for it is "lncRNA (ENSMUNG00000021098.1)". Lineage: Eukaryota; Metazoa; Chordata; Aves; Psittaciformes; Psittaculidae. The record is from RNAcentral.
AUAUUUUGUUAAUAAAUAGAAACUGAUCAUGGAGACAUAAAAGAGCUUCAAAUACUUUGUCAGUCAAAAAAGCUCAUUCGUUUGUCCUCAGCAUUGAUUAUUGCUUAUUAAGAGGAUGCAUCCAGGGGCCUUGUUUAAGUCUUGUAGUGCUUUUUCUAAUCCUAAUGCUUCAUUUUACAAGCAGCAUGAGUUCUGAUACUGUUCAACUCUUUUUGAUGUUUCCUUUUUGUUUCAGUCAUGGCAAUCUAUUUCUUUUUGAUCGUUGGGAGUCUACAGAGCAUGGACUAUGCAGAGCAUGUUUCUCCAUUUCAAGCCAUCUCAUAAGAAACCAGAAGGUUUAUGAGUGUGUUUCAGAUGAAAUCUAAGCCUCCUGUGGAGGAAGAAAAAAAAUCACCUGACAGAUGUAGACUGUUCCUUUCCUGCAGAAAUACAGCAAUUUCCUCAAAUGCAAGUAAAAAUGGAACAAGCAUCCUUGAGCUUUUCUGAAGCUUAUCUUUAAUUUCAGAACCUUGGUGAUUGCUCCUGUGUUUUUAGAAUAUCUACAAAGCCUCAUUACAGGUUGGUUGAGUGUCUAGCUGGUUAUUCCUAUGUUUUCCUCAUCCUCACGAAGGAAGCCUGAUCAAAUUCGGAUCAAAUAUGUAAAUCCACUGUUAACAACAGUGGUCAACAUGCAGAUUUGUUGAGCAUGAAUCCAAGUGGUGACUUCAGAAGCAUUACACUGUGUUGGUGUGAGUCAGAGCUUACCACUGAAAGAACCUCAGAUACAAAGAAGUUGGGGUUUAUUUUGUUAUUUUUUCUUAAGCAGGUUACAUUUUAUUCCUGUAUUAGCUGUUUUACUGCUUUGUUGUAUAUCUGAAGGUGUUUACAUAUAUUUGUAAUUGUUACGAUGUGUCUGUAAUCAAGCUCAUCUGUGCCUUCACGCAGAUUUCCAAUAAACACUUGAUUUUUUGUAUUUACUUGUAUAAAAGACUAUGGGGUGGAUGUAUAUUUCCUUCUGUCUGUCAGUUUGCCAUCACUGGGAAGAAGAGGAGGAAGAUGAGAUCUAGGAAUCAGAGAAAAAUGUGUGCUUUUCUUUAUUUUUGCUGUCUUUAAGUCUAGUUGGGCUGUUGCUGGUAUUUUCACUUAAAUGGCAGAGUGGGGAGCCUGGGGAUUAUCGUAGUUGCAUAAUUAGGUUUGUAUAAGAGGUGUUUCUCACUUCAGAUUAGGUGACUAUUCAGAGUAUAAUCAUGCAUGCUUGUCUCUAUCAGUUUUGCUUCUGUCUUGGAAGAAUGUAGCUACAUUUUUUGAGCUGUCAUUGUGGGAAAAUUCCAGAGUAUCUUUCUCCCCCUGAAUGAAACAUGUAUGUUUAACCUUCUACAGCUGCCUUCCAGGGGGAGUUAGGGCUACAGCAAGAACUGCAGUAUCUUUUGGUCUUAGUAUGCUUGCUUACCUUGAGGGUACGUUCUGAUGAUUGGGGGGUAGAAGAUGAACAGUUUCUUCUUUUUUUUUCCAGUUUUUCUAAGCUCACAGGAACAGAGAUACAUAUUUGUGCAAAGUUACAGGAAAACCUAUGUGUUUGAGUCAGAAGCAGUAUGCAGCAGUACAGCUGCUUUUCUGAUCUGAUGUUAAAUAGGCAAUGAAGAGAAGGGAAAAAAUGCUUUCUUGCCUGUGUGCAUGCUGUAUAAUUUAGAAAAGAGUGCU